CUCUUAGAAAACGUGAACUCAAUCAGGCCUUUUUUCUGCUAAUCUGGCACCACUGUACCUGUUGAAAAAUGAAUAGCUAUUUGCAGAGCAAUGUUAAAAGAAAAGGUAACUGAAGAUGAAAGUUAAAGCAAAUUGCCCAACAUCUCCCACUGGGUCAAAAAGAGGCCCUGAACUGAGAUUGAAGCCCAGUCCGCCUGACUGCAGAGCCCAGCUGCACCCCAAACUCCGUCCGAAUGCUGGAAUUACCCCCCCGCCUUCACCAGGGCCACCUGCCUGCAGACACUGCCUGCAAACUGCUCAAAAGAUGCCCAGGAGAAGAGAGAGGAGCAAAAGACGUCCCUAAUUUCCAUACCCGGCAAUCCGCUAUACAAACUCUCUAGUAACUCUUAAAUGCUAUUGGAAGCAAUUAAAUAAAAAUCCUGGGAUAAUGACUUGUUUUUAACAUUAGAGCCUAAA
Long non-coding RNA from Equus caballus (horse), 456 nucleotides. The record is from Ensembl. Lineage: Eukaryota; Metazoa; Chordata; Mammalia; Perissodactyla; Equidae.